RNAcentral lists this ribosomal RNA (589 nucleotides) under uncultured delta proteobacterium. RNAcentral's name for it is "bacterial SSU rRNA". It matches the Rfam family "Bacterial small subunit ribosomal RNA", at positions 338 to 916 of the family's 1533-position model. Lineage: Bacteria; Deltaproteobacteria. The record is from RNAcentral.
CCUACGGGAGGCAGCAGUGGGGAAUAUUGCGCAAUGGGCGAAAGCCUGACGCAGCAACGCCGCGUGAGUGAUGAAGGCUUUCGAGUCGUAAAGCUCUGUUAAGGGGGACGAAUGACCGCUGGGAACAAUACCUCAGCGGCCUGACGGUACCUCUAGAGGAAGCACCGGCUAACUCCGUGCCAGCAGCCGCGGUAAUACGGAGGGUGCAAGCGUUGUUCGGAAUUACUGGGCGUAAAGCGCGUGUAGGCGGACCCGGUAGUCGGGUGUGAAAGCCCUGGGCUCAACCCAGGAAGUGCGCCCGAAACCACGGGUCUAGAGGUCCGGAGAGGAUCGGGGAAUUCCCAGUGUAGAGGUGAAAUUCGUAGAUAUUGGGAAGAACACCGGUGGCGAAGGCGCCGAUCUAGACGGAUCCUGACGCUGAGAUGCGAAAGCGUGGGUAGCAAACAGGAUUAGAUACCCUGGUAGUCCACGCUGUAAACGAUGUGCACUAGGUGUCGGGGGUAUUGACCCCCCCGGUGCCGACGCUAACGCAUUAAGUGCACCGCCUGGGAAGUACGGCCGCAAGGUUGAAACUCAAAGGAAUUGACGG